GGAGGGAGGCAAGAAUCUUCUGAGACCAGUGGUAGAGAUCAGAGGAACAUGUAAACCCCUUAAGGAUGGCUUUCCAUUCCUGAGAGUGCUUUCUAGAGGACACCCAAUAGUGAGCUAGGUGGGGGUGGGGGGGUGAGAACAGAAGCUCCCCCGUGACUUGGGAAGAUUAGAUUACAUAUGAAAAAGUGGAUUGACUGGUUUCCUUAUGUCAUAUAAAGAUAGGAUUUUUUUUUUCUUUCAAGUCAAUCUCUUAUGACAAGUAUCAGGGGAUCGUUUCAUGGAAAUCUAUGGAACCCCCAACAAUCAGAGUCCAAACCUCAAGUCUGACACCUCCCAGUUCUGUCUCUAAGUACAGUGUGCAGUUUGCAUGUGCUUCUCUUGAAUUCUCUUCAAGCAAGGAACUGUGGCACCACAGCCUACUGAGUGAGAUCACAAAGGCAGAGAGAGAGACUUUCUGUUGAUCUUAACAGCAGUAGCCUGUCAAGCCAUCCCAAUGAGAUGAAUUUGAACUCUGAUGCUGUCAGUCACUCAUUGCUAACUCACUCCAACCUGGCAAGCUCUUCAAAUGUAACCGUCAUCUUUCAGCAAGGGGCUCACCCAGUAAGUGGGGAUGUAUCACAGCCAAAGGCACAGUGCCCUGGCAAGAUCCUCGAAGUUUCCAUUUCUACUGUCAAUCUAAUCCUUGUCACCAGAUUUCUUUGGCUUUAAUGUCAUGGCUUUCAGUAUCAUUGACCCAAAAGCUUGCUAAUAUCUAAAAUCAGCGUAUCG
RNAcentral lists this long non-coding RNA (768 nucleotides) under Mus caroli (Ryukyu mouse). RNAcentral describes it as "SRY (sex determining region Y)-box 5, opposite strand 3 (MGP_CAROLIEiJ_G0003961.1)". The record is from RNAcentral. Lineage: Eukaryota; Metazoa; Chordata; Mammalia; Rodentia; Muridae.